Molecule: RNA transcript, 2160 nt
Organism: Mustela lutreola (European mink)
Lineage: Eukaryota; Metazoa; Chordata; Mammalia; Carnivora; Mustelidae
Gene name: conserved oligomeric Golgi complex subunit 2-like
Exons: 8
Source: RefSeq, a predicted model, not a curated record
UUUCAUUGGCCAGGCGGGGGCGCUGCCAUGUUGGAGGUAGCGGUGCCUUCUGAGCGGUGGAAACGCCGUGGCUUCACCGGUAGCGUCGGGGAGCGCAGCCUCCUACCUUUCCUCCUCGCUCGAGUGUUGGUGCUGAGAGGCUGCGGCCGGCGGGAUGGAGAGAAGUAGGAUGAACCUGCCCAAGGGGCCGGACUCGCUCUGCUUCGACAAGGACGAGUUCAUGAAGAGAUCACAAGUAGGAAGAGAGGCAGGCAGAGAGAGAGGAGGAAACAGGCUCCCUGCUGAGGAGAGAGCCUGAUGUGGGGCUCGAUCCCAGGACCCUGGAAUCAUGACCUGAGCCGAAGGCAGAGGCCUUAACUCACUGAGCUACCCAGGAAGAUUUCGAUGUCGAUCACUUUGUUUCUGACUGUAGGAAGCGUGUCCAGCUGGAGGAACUAAGAGGAGAUCUGAAAGUCUACUAUAAACUUCUUAAAAUAUCCAUGGUGGAGCUCAUCAACAAGGAUUAUGCAGAUUUUGUCAACCUUUCCACAAGCUUGGUUGGCAUGGACAAAGCCCUCAAUCAACUUUCUGUGCCUUUGGGACAGUUAGAGAAGUUCUGAGUCUCAGGUCAUCUGUCAGUUAAGGAAUUCGGGCAGUAGAUGAACGAAUGUGUAAACAAGAGGACAUAAGGAAGAAAAAGAUGUGUGUGUUGAGGCUUAUACAAGUUAUUUGAUCAGUUGAAAAGAUUGAAAAAAUCUUAAAUUCACAAAGUUCUAAAGAAACCUCUGCACCAGAAGCAAGCAGUCCUCUCUGGACUAGACAGAUUUUGGAGAGAAUUGCCACAGAAUUUAACCAGUUACAGUUUCAUGCUGUUCAGAGCAAAGGCAUGCCUCUUCUGGACAAAGUAAGACCACGUAUAGCCCACAUUUCGGCCAUGCUGCAGCAGUCCCUGGGAGGCCUGCUGCUAGAAGGGCUUCAGACUUCCAAUGUGGACAUCAUACGGCACUGCCUCCGGACUUACGCUACUAUUGACAACACACGGGAUGCAGAAGCGUUAGUCGGUCAAGUACUGGUGAAACCGUACAUAGAUGAGGUUUGUGCCCCCAUGCACCUCAUUCCGCAAACACAGAGCAUCUAAUCUGGCUUCGUUUCUUGACUGGGUGCGAGAGAGCUCAGGGCUCUUCCUUGAAGAUGCUCCUGGUUCCUGCUCUUCUGGUUGUAAGAAAAGGUUGGUCCCGCUUGGUACCCAUCAGCAUGGCAGGAAUCAGGCAUGCGCUCUGGUUUCUUCCAGUGAUGCCAUAGCUCAGGGAUCAUCUUAAUUUAGUAGGGGUGAGGGACUUGCCUAGGAAGAAGAUACGGAUCAGAACAUUUUCAGGUCAAUUUCCAUUUCCAUAAGUUAUACGUUAAUGAAGUUGCCGAAAAGCGUGACCCCACCAAGGCGCCCGUGCCCACUGGAGGAGCUGAAAGACAGCUCUGUGUGCAGGGAAAGUCCGUGAGGGGAGGCGUCUUCGCAGAAUUGAUGUGGCCUAAGUCUUGAAGACCAUGGGGGAGUUUGCCAGGCUAGGAAGGUGGGAGGGAGGGAAUAUUCAAAGAUAAAGGGCUUUGAAGGGCGAGUUAGCAGGGUAGUACCUUAAGUCCGGAACUUGGUUACCCAGUGUUCUUGACCUAUGAGGAUACAGUUAAAUACAGGGAGUCAGUGUAUCCUGCCUCUGAGUGGCCGGAGUAUGGGCUGCACCGUGUGAGGCCGCCAGCAGUCAGCAGCUUCCCAUUUAGAGAGAGUCGGUUUCAUCUAGUUCAGGCUGACAGAAGUCAUGAAGCCAGUCUCAGCGUUUGAGGGCUUUCUUCCAGUCACCUGCCAGUGCGAGUGUUCUUUCUGUCCGGUAAGUAUAAAGCUACCCACCAUGACUUCAGGAUGAAAGGCUUCCAGUUUUAAAACGGGACAGUAUCCCAGUGAUAGAAGUGAAAUUGAAGGAUUAAUUUCAGUAAUCUUCUCAGCUUCAUUAGGACUACUAAAAGUAAAUGAUCUGUCAGUUCUUUGUAUGUAUCCUAUUAUAGUUCAUAGCUCUCUCUGUGGGGGUGAAAAAGAUCACAUUAUUCUUUGUCACUAAAUAAAAAUAUUUUAGUUAUUUAAUUUAUGCCCUUUUCAUUGAACUGAAUCUAAUAGGCUAAAUUAGGGAAGUA